This 1172-nucleotide ribosomal RNA is filed under the name uncultured Rozellomycota. RNAcentral's name for it is "SSU rRNA". It matches the Rfam family "Eukaryotic small subunit ribosomal RNA", at positions 474 to 1707 of the family's 1831-position model. The record is from RNAcentral. Lineage: Eukaryota; Fungi; Rozellomycota.
UAAAUAACAAUGCAGGGCCUUUCGGUUUUGUAAUUGGAAUGAGUACAAUUUAAACCCUUAACGAGAACAAUUGGAGGGCAAGUCUGGUGCCAGCAGCCGCGGUAAUUCCAGCUCCAAUAGCGUAUAUUAAAGUUGUUGCAGUUAAAACGCUCGUAGUCGAACUUUAGACAAGGCCGACUGGUCUGCCGUCAGGCAUGACUGGACGUGCCGCGUCUCUUUAUCGGGGAACUAGGGGCGAAAGUCUCAGGGAACCGAGGAUUACUGUGAAGAAAUUAGAGUGUUUAAAGCAGGCGUUUGCUUGAAUACGUUAGCAUGGAAUAAUAAGAUAGGACCAUGGUUCUAUUUUAUUGGUUUGAGGACCAAGGUAAUGAUUAAUAGGGACAGUUGGGGCAUUAGUAUUGGCGCGUCAGAGGUGAAAUUCUUGGAUCGCGACAAGACUCGCUAGUGCGAAAGCAUUUGCCAAGGAUGUUUUCAUUAAUCAAGAACGAAAGUCAGGGGAUCGAAGACGAUCAGAUACCGUCGUAGUCUUGACCAUAAACGAUGCCGACUGGCGGUUUUUGAAGUUAGAACUUCAAAAGAAGCCUGAGAGAAAUCAAAGUUUUUAGGUUCUGGGGGAGUAUGGUCGCAAGGCUGAAACUUGAAGGAAUUGACGGAAGGGCACCACCAGGAGUGGAGCCUGCGGCUUAAUUUGACUCAACACGGGGAAACUCACCAGGUCCAGACAUGGGAAGGAUUGACAGAUUGACAGCGCUUUCGAGAUUCUAUGGGUGGUGGUGCACGGCCGUUCUUAGUUGGUGGUAUGAAUUGUCAGGUUAAUUCCGAUAACGAACGAGACCUUGGCCUUUAACUAGUUUGCGUGACGAUUCGUCGCGUUUUGACUUCUUGGAGGGACACUGUGUGAUAAUGCAGGGAAGUUUGAGGCAAUAACAGGUCUGUGAUGCCCUUUGAUGUUCUGGGCCGCACGCGCGCUACACUGAUGGAGGCAACGAGUGCAUUUUCUGGAAAGAGGGUGUAAACUCUGAAACUCUAUCGUGCUGGGGAUAGUCCUUUGCAAUUUUUGGACUUUAACGAGGAAUUCCUAGUAAGCGCGAGUCAUCAGCUCGCGUUGAUUACGUCCCUGCCCUUUGUACACACCGCCCGUCGCUAGUACCGAUUGAAUGGCUUAGUGAGGC